UCAUAUAGGUUUUAUGUGAUGAAUUUGUUUAUUGUCAGUUUAAAAAACGUGAGUAUUCUAUGAGUGAGAUAAAUGAGGUUCGAGAAGAUUGGGCAACUUCUGCCAUUAAUGAGCUUUGACAUGUGACAUGGAGAAGUUCUUGCGCGUUGAUAUGGUAUUUUGAAAGCUUUCUGGAACAAUUAUAAUUUGUGGGUGAUGUGGUAGAACAUUGGUUCUUAUUUUGUUGUUGGGAGAUGUGGUAGAACAUUGAUUCUUAUUUUGUUGUUGUUGGAUGAA
This is a long non-coding RNA of Salvia miltiorrhiza (redroot sage), 276 nucleotides long. RefSeq lists it as uncharacterized. NCBI's taxonomy places the organism in Eukaryota, Viridiplantae, Streptophyta, Magnoliopsida, Lamiales, Lamiaceae. The record is from RefSeq and is a predicted model, not a curated record. The transcript is spliced from 2 exons.